CAGUCGAACGAAGCACUUUAUUUGAUUUCCCUCGGGACUGAUUAUUUUGUCACUGAGUGGCGGGCGGGUGAGUAACGCGUGGGUAACCUGCCUUGUACAGGGGGAUAACAGUUGGAAACGGCUGCUAAUACCGCAUAAGCGCACGGCAUCGCAUGAUGCAGUGUGAAAAACUCCGGUGGUAUAAGAUGGACCCGCGUUGGAUUAGCUAGUUGGUGAGGUAACGGCCCACCAAGGCGACGAUCCAUAGCCGACCUGAGAGGGUGACCGGCCACAUUGGGACUGAGACACGGCCCAAACUCCUACGGGAGGCAGCAGUGGGGAAUAUUGCACAAUGGGCGAAAGCCUGAUGCAGCGACGCCGCGUGAGCGAAGAAGUAUUUCGGUAUGUAAAGCUCUAUCAGCAGGGAAGAUAAUGACGGUACCUGACUAAGAAGCACCGGCUAAAUACGUGCCAGCAGCCGCGGUAAUACGUAUGGUGCAAGCGUUAUCCGGAUUUACUGGGUGUAAAGGGAGCGCAGGCGGUGCGGCAAGUCUGAUGUGAAAGCCCGGGGCUCAACCCCGGUACUGCAUUGGAAACUGUCGUACUAGAGUGUCGGAGGGGUAAGCGGAAUUCCUAGUGUAGCGGUGAAAUGCGUAGAUAUUAGGAGGAACACCAGUGGCGAAGGCGGCUUACUGGACGAUAACUGACGCUGAGGCUCGAAAGCGUGGGGAGCAAACAGGA
This 720-nucleotide ribosomal RNA is filed under the name uncultured bacterium. RNAcentral describes it as "bacterial SSU rRNA". It matches the Rfam family "Bacterial small subunit ribosomal RNA", at positions 59 to 777 of the family's 1533-position model. The record is from RNAcentral.